GCCCAGAAAAUCUCUGAUGACCUGAUGCAGAAGAUCAGUACUCAGAACCGCCGAGCCCUGGACCUUGUAGCUGCAAAGUGUUACUAUUAUCACGCCCGGGUCUAUGAGUUCCUGGACAAGCUGGAUGUGGUGCGCAGUUUCUUGCAUGCCCGGCUCCGGACAGCCACCCUCCGGCAUGAUGCAGACGGACAGGCUACCCUAUUGAACCUCUUGCUUCGGAAUUACCUACAUUACAGCUUGUACGACCAGGCUGAGAAACUAGUGUCUAAGUCUGUCUUCCCCGAACAGGCUAACAACAAUGAAUGGGCCAGGUACCUCUACUACACAGGUAAGCGGGGCCCCCCCACCCACCCCACAAAGCAGGAUGUGGCUCAGGCUCUGUAAUGUAGACUUUUCAGGGUUGGUCCAUUUGAUGCAGCCAGCACUCAUCCCAGAUAGGCACAGGAGGGACCAAGUAAAGCUUUUGCUAAUUAGCACAGUCUAGGCCCACACAUGGGAUACUCCACAAAUCAUCAGGCAAGUGUGGUUGGAAUAAUCUAAAGCCAGAGUAUUUGCCCAAAGAGGGGAUAGUGGUGGUUGUGGUGAAUGCCACUGCUUUUUUGUUUGUUUUGAGACAGGGUUUCUCUCUGUAGCCCUGGCU
Molecule: long non-coding RNA, 640 nt
Filed under: Cricetulus griseus (Chinese hamster)
Lineage: Eukaryota; Metazoa; Chordata; Mammalia; Rodentia; Cricetidae
Description: lncRNA (ENSCGRG00000025069.1)
Source: RNAcentral